UACGUAGGGUGCAAGCGUUAAUCGGAAUUACUGGGCGUAAAGCGUGCGCAGGCGGUCUGUUAAGACGGAUGUGAAAUCCCCGGGCUCAACCUGGGAACUGCAUUCGUGACUGGCAGGCUAGAGUAUGGCAGAGGGGGGUGGAAUUCCACGUGUAGCAGUGAAAUGCGUAGAGAUGCGGAGGAACACCGAUGGCGAAGGCAGCCCCCUGGGCUGACACUGACGCUCAGGCACGAAAGCGUGGGGAGCAAACAGG
RNAcentral lists this ribosomal RNA (253 nucleotides) under uncultured prokaryote. Its description in RNAcentral is "partial 16S ribosomal RNA". It matches the Rfam family "Bacterial small subunit ribosomal RNA", at positions 524 to 776 of the family's 1533-position model. The record is from RNAcentral.